Molecule: ribosomal RNA, 440 nt
Filed under: uncultured bacterium
Lineage: Bacteria
Description: partial 16S ribosomal RNA
Rfam family: Bacterial small subunit ribosomal RNA
Source: RNAcentral
CCUACGGGAGGCAGCAGUAGGGAAUAUUGCUCAAUGGGGGAAACCCUGAAGCAGCAACGCCGCGUGGAGGAUGAAGGUUUUCGGAUUGUAAACUCUUUUUGUUAGAGAAGAUAAUGACGGUAUCUAACGAAUAAGCACCGGCUCACUCCGUGACAGCAGCCGCGGUCAUACGGAGGGUGCAAGCGGUACGCGGAAUCACUGGGCGUAAGGGGCGCGUAGGCGGGAUAGCAAGUCAGUUGUGAAAUCCUAUGGCGUAACCAUAGAACUGCAUUUGAAACCGUUAUUCUAGAGUAUGGGAGAGGUAGGUGGAAUUCGUGGUGUAGGGGUAAAAUCCGUAGAGAUCAAGAGGAAUACGCAUUGCGAAGGCGACCUGCUAGAACAUAACUGACGCUGAUGCGCGAAAGCGUGGGGAUCAAACAGGAUUAGAUACCCGUGUAGUC